Molecule: long non-coding RNA, 956 nt
Organism: Etheostoma spectabile (orangethroat darter)
Lineage: Eukaryota; Metazoa; Chordata; Actinopteri; Perciformes; Percidae
Exons: 2
Source: RefSeq, a predicted model, not a curated record
GCUCUGUCCAUGUUCUGUGUGGCUGCUGCUCUCUCCAACUUCUCCUGCUCUGCUUCUCCCCAUAGACAUAGUCCCCCAAACCCCCAUGCACACACUAGGCAACAAUUUGAGUUUAGACUGACAGCAUCGUACACACACACAGUAGAGAUUUAAUCCAACAUGGUUCUUACACUGUAAAAUUGUUGCUUUGAUCUGAUUAAAAACCACAGAGGCACCAUUUUUCCAAAUAUUUUUGUAAGUGUAGUGAUUGAGUAGGGAAAACUCAAUAAUAUACAGUAACUAACUAACACUAAAAUAGAUGAGGAGAGCCUUCACGGAAAAAGUCAAGAAAAUGAGUUCAACUGACAUUAUUAAAGUCAGCAUGUGAAAAAUAAUGUAUAGUUGAUAAACAAAUAUGAUGUUAACAUUUAAUUGUUUAUGUUUAAUAACAAAUGCAUUUAUGUAAUUAUUGUUAGUAGCAACAACCUUCUGUAAAACAACAGAAUACAUUGAAACUUAAACAUGUAAACAUAGUACACCAAAUCAGAGGUUAACGUCUAAAACAUAAAAGAAAGAACUUGUUCCCUCCAUAAAAAAAAUACAAUUUGACCCCCAUAAUUUCCAAAAUACCUAACCUCUAUUAAAUGUAUGUUAAGCCAUUUAGGCAGAAAAUACAUCUUACUUAAAAACCUUUACAGCUCCUACACAACAUUCAUUCUGGAAGACACUUAACUAAGCUUUACAGACCCGACACAGCACUGACGUGUGUACCUAGUGUUUCAAGAAAGUUGCCAGCAAUCAGUUUCCAAAAUGAUUAAACCUCUGCAAAGACAUUCAUGACAAUUUUAAAGUGCAUCUCAAUGUCUCAUUUAACCAUGAACUUCCAAACAUUUCCCAACUUUAAGCUCCACACUACACCCUACAUAUUGGAUCACUUAGUAUCAACACACAUACUAUGAGUACACAGUAAAAAGCCA